CCAGAAAGAAGACUUUUUUGUCCGUCGAGGAGGCAUUGGACAUCGUAUUUCAGGACUCUCCGUCGGAAGAUAGUGAUCUCGUCUCGCAUAAAGGGGACAGUAAUGACUCUGAUUAUGAACCUCCGUCACCGGAAAGUGAGGAAGGCGAUGAGGAUAUGGCUUCUGGAUGCCCGAGUAUUAUGGGGAAGAUGCCACCAAGGUCAGGAGGUACUGUAGGAGGUGCUCUGAUGCUGGCAACAGAAGGGUGAAGACACCUGUGUACUGCAGGAAGUGUCAGGUCCCUCUGUGCUUCACUACCAAACAUAACUGUUACAGGGCAUGGCAUGACUUACUGGAGUAAUACUGUAACAUUCAGGGUUUGUAUAAAGUUUUUUUUUUUUACCCAAAAAAUGCUUGUUGUAUAGUGUGUUGCUAAUUUUUUUUAAAUAAAUCUGCUCCAGUUGGAGUCAAAUGUU
Gymnodraco acuticeps is the source of this 455-nucleotide long non-coding RNA. RefSeq lists it as uncharacterized. Lineage: Eukaryota; Metazoa; Chordata; Actinopteri; Perciformes; Bathydraconidae. The record is from RefSeq and is a predicted model, not a curated record. The transcript has 2 exons.